RNAcentral lists this ribosomal RNA (254 nucleotides) under uncultured bacterium. RNAcentral describes it as "partial 16S ribosomal RNA". It matches the Rfam family "Bacterial small subunit ribosomal RNA", at positions 524 to 776 of the family's 1533-position model. The record is from RNAcentral.
UACGGGGGGGGCAAGCGUUGUUCGGAAUUACUGGGCGUAAAGGGCUCGUAGGCGGCCAACUAAGUCAGACGUGAAAUCCCUCGGCUUAACCGGGGAACUGCGUCUGAUACUGGAUGGCUUGAGUUUGGGAGAGGGAUGCGGAAUUCCAGGUGUAGCGGUGAAAUGCGUAGAUAUCUGGAGGAACACCGGUGGCGAAGGCGGCAUCCUGGACCAACACUGACGCUGAGCGAGCGAAAGCCAGGGGAGCAAACGGG